This 687-nucleotide ribosomal RNA is filed under the name Lysinibacillus sp. RNAcentral describes it as "bacterial SSU rRNA". It matches the Rfam family "Bacterial small subunit ribosomal RNA", at positions 55 to 724 of the family's 1533-position model. The record is from RNAcentral. Lineage: Bacteria; Bacillati; Bacillota; Bacilli; Caryophanales; Bacillaceae.
AUGCAAGUCGAGCGAACAGAAAGGAGCUUGCUCCUUUGACGUUAGCGGCGGACGGGUGAGUAACACGUGGGCAACCUACCCUAUAGUUUGGGAUAACUCCGGGAAACCGGGGCUAAUACCGAAUAAUCUCUUUUGCUUCAUGGUGAAAGACUGAAAGACGGUUUCGGCUGUCGCUAUAGGAUGGGCCCGCGGCGCAUUAGCUAGUUGGUGAGGUAACGGCUCACCAAGGCGACGAUGCGUAGCCGACCUGAGAGGGUGAUCGGCCACACUGGGACUGAGACACGGCCCAGACUCCUACGGGAGGCAGCAGUAGGGAAUCUUCCACAAUGGGCGAAAGCCUGAUGGAGCAACGCCGCGUGAGUGAAGAAGGUUUUCGGAUCGUAAAACUCUGUUGUAAGGGAAGAACAAGUACAGUAGUAACUGGCUGUACCUUGACGGUACCUUAUUAGAAAGCCACGGCUAACUACGUGCCAGCAGCCGCGGUAAUACGUAGGUGGCAAGCGUUGUCCGGAAUUAUUGGGCGUAAAGCGCGCGCAGGCGGUCCUUUAAGUCUGAUGUGAAAGCCCACGGCUCAACCGUGGAGGGUCAUUGGAAACUGGGGGACUUGAGUGCAGAAGAGGAAAGUGGAAUUCCAAGUGUAGCGGUGAAAUGCGUAUAGAUUUGGAGGAACACCAGUGGCGAAGGCGA